AUGGGUGGAUAGACAAAUGGAUGGAUGGAUGGAUGGAUAGAUGAGUGGAUGGAUGGAUGAAUGGAUGGUAGAUGGGUGGAUUAAUGGAUGGGUGAGUAGGUAGGUAGAU
Long non-coding RNA from Pipistrellus kuhlii (Kuhl's pipistrelle), 109 nucleotides. RefSeq lists it as uncharacterized. The record is from RefSeq and is a predicted model, not a curated record. The transcript is spliced from 3 exons. NCBI's taxonomy places the organism in Eukaryota, Metazoa, Chordata, Mammalia, Chiroptera, Vespertilionidae.